This 110-nucleotide ribosomal RNA is filed under the name Phippsia algida. Its description in RNAcentral is "partial 18S ribosomal RNA". It matches the Rfam family "Eukaryotic small subunit ribosomal RNA", at positions 1724 to 1830 of the family's 1831-position model. Lineage: Eukaryota; Viridiplantae; Streptophyta; Magnoliopsida; Poales; Poaceae. The record is from RNAcentral.
UGGGGUGGUUCGCCGCCCCCGACGUCGCGAGAAGUCCAUUGAACCUUAUCAUUUAGAGGAAGGAGAAGUCGUAACAAGGUUUCCGUAGGUGAACCUGCGGAAGGAUCAUU